Chenopodium quinoa (quinoa) is the source of this 959-nucleotide long non-coding RNA. RefSeq lists it as uncharacterized. The transcript is spliced from 3 exons. The record is from RefSeq and is a predicted model, not a curated record. NCBI's taxonomy places the organism in Eukaryota, Viridiplantae, Streptophyta, Magnoliopsida, Caryophyllales, Amaranthaceae.
UGGUGGUUUCGUGGGUGCGGUACGGUGGUGGUUUCGUGGUUGCGGUGGUGGUUUCAUGGGUGCGGUGGUGGGUGUGGUGGCUGCGACUAUGGUGGUUCGAUGCGACUAUUGUGGUUCGUUGCUUACUCCAGCACAAGGUCUUGCUGGGAAGACCAUAUGCAAAGAGUAGGUCCAAAGAGGACUUGGGUUGCCCAUUAAAUCUGUUGGAUCUGGUACUCAUGUGAAAGGAAAGGUACCAUUGGUUGUCUGCAUCACACAUUUGGUUGCUCACAAAGGUCUUCAUUUGAUCUGCCAUGCUAUUAAACAUGUUGAAGAACUAGGUGGACAGAUGGUUGUGCUUGGAAGAGCUUCAAAUGGUCUAGUGGAAAAAGGAAUUUGAAAGCCUUGCGACUUUGGUAAUGACCACAAUCACUUGAAAGUUGUACUCUGAAAUUUCUACAAAUUGAAUAUUAAUUUGAAAUAUUCGGAUAGUGAAACAAGUUUACUCUGUAAUUAAUUCAUUCGGACCAUGAUAUCUUAUUUUUAACAUCCUUUAUGUGGUCUUGCUUAUGAAACUUAUAUGUUUGAAGCUGUUAGGAUUAAUUAAUUUUUGUUGAUGAUUAUUGAGAAUCAGGAAUGAGAGAAAGUGGCUGGUCUUUUACCUUCUAGGCACUUAAACUGGGCUACGUUAUUGCAAACUUCUCCUUCGUUUUCGUUACAUAGCUGCAUAAUUCAUACAUUUUUCAUUAAGUGGUUGUUUUCUUUACGUUAUGUAUGUACUUUUGUACUUAUUUAUAGGAAAAUGCCUUUUGUAAAUUGCACUUCAGUUUAAAUUUGUUGUUCUCUUCUUGUAUUUCCAAGACCCAUACUUUGAACAGAAUGUGCUAGUUCUAACUUCUAAAGCACUUUUUGAGUAGGUGUAACACUUUUCUUUAAGGAAAAAAAGGAAUGAUAUGUGCUGAAACAACAACAUUACUGAA